RNAcentral lists this non-coding RNA (30 nucleotides) under Rattus norvegicus (Norway rat). The record is from RNAcentral. Lineage: Eukaryota; Metazoa; Chordata; Mammalia; Rodentia; Muridae.
UCAAUCUGUAAAAUGGGGAUAAUAUUGGGU